Molecule: non-coding RNA, 225 nt
Filed under: Desulfobaculum bizertense
Lineage: Bacteria; Pseudomonadati; Thermodesulfobacteriota; Desulfovibrionia; Desulfovibrionales; Desulfovibrionaceae
Also listed under: 1 other name
Source: RNAcentral
UAUUCGCCAUCCUCUGUGGGUCGUUCUCUUGCCAGAACGAUAAUAGGGAACCCGGUGAAAAACCGGGGCGGACUCGCCGCUGUAACUUCCUCGCCUAUGUAAAUAAUGAAAUGGGCACAGUGAAGGUUCAAAAAACCACUGCUGAAUGCGUGCAAUGCGCAGGCUGGCGGGAAGGAUGAACCAUUUGGAAGAAGCCAGAAGACCUACCCACGAGCGUGUGUUCGC